Non-coding RNA from Acanthosepion pharaonis, 115 nucleotides. The record is from the annotation of a GenBank genome assembly. Lineage: Eukaryota; Metazoa; Mollusca; Cephalopoda; Sepiida; Sepiidae.
CUUGCGGUCAUAUCACGUUGAAACAUAGGUUCUCGUAUGAUUACCGAAGUUAAGCGACGUCGUACCUGGUUAGUAUGUAGAUGGGUGACUACUGGGGAAUAUUAGGUGUUGUAAG